UUUCCGUAGGUGAACCUGCGGAAGGAUCAUUAUCAAAUACAGCGGGCUUCGGCCCUGUCUGCACCCUUGUCUUUUGCGUACUAUUCGUUUCCUUGGUGGGCUUGCCUGCCAAAAGGACACUAUAAAACCACUUGUAAUAGCAAUCAGCGUCAGAUAACUAUAAUAGUUACAACUUUCAACAACGGAUCUCUUGGUUCUGGCAUCGAUGAAGAACGCAGC
This 219-nucleotide unclassified non-coding RNA is filed under the name uncultured fungus. RNAcentral describes it as "sequence contains ITS1, 5.8S rRNA gene". The stretch from base 171 to 219 matches the Rfam family "5.8S ribosomal RNA", at positions 1 to 49 of the family's 154-position model. Lineage: Eukaryota; Fungi. The record is from RNAcentral.